AACGAACGCUGGCGGCGUGCCUAACACAUGCAAGUCGAGCGCGAAAAGGGCAACCUGAGUAGAGCGGCGCACGGGUGCGUAACACGUGGGUAAUCUGCCUCAAAGUUUAGGAUAACCUUCCGAAAGGUUGGCUAAUACUACUGAAGCUCACAAGGUCUUCGGACCAAGGGAGAAAAGUUGGCCUCUGUUUACAUGCUAACGCUUUGAGAUGAGCCCGCGGCCCAUCAGCUAGUUGGUGAGGUAAUGGCUCACCAAGGCUACGACGGGUAG
RNAcentral lists this ribosomal RNA (270 nucleotides) under uncultured bacterium. RNAcentral's name for it is "partial 16S ribosomal RNA". It matches the Rfam family "Bacterial small subunit ribosomal RNA", at positions 29 to 286 of the family's 1533-position model. The record is from RNAcentral.